RNAcentral lists this ribosomal RNA (253 nucleotides) under uncultured bacterium. Its description in RNAcentral is "partial 16S ribosomal RNA". It matches the Rfam family "Bacterial small subunit ribosomal RNA", at positions 524 to 776 of the family's 1533-position model. The record is from RNAcentral.
UACAGAGGGUGCGAGCGUUGUUCGGAAUUAUUGGGCGUAAAGGGCGCGUAGGCGGUGCGGUAAGUCACCUGUGAAAUCUCCUGGCUCAACUGGGAGCUUGCAGGCGAAACUGCCGUGCUGGAGUGUGGGAGAGGUGCGUGGAAUUCCUGGUGUAGCGGUGAAAUGCGUAGAUAUCAGGAGGAAGACCGGUGGCGAAGGCGGUCUGCUGGGCAGUUUCUGACACUGAGGCGCGACAGCGUGGGGAGCAAACAGG